GGCCUGCGCGGAAGAUGUAACGGGGCUAAACCAUGCACCGAAGCUGCGGCAGCGAACGUAUCACUUAAAACGCUUAACGUUGCGAAGCGACGUUCAAGCCACUAAAACGUUGAGUUGGCCUGAGAGCUGACAGAUGGAAAGGCGUUUUAAGGAUACGUUCGUUGGGUAGGGGAGCGUUCUGUAAGCCGUUGAAGGUGGCCUGUGAGGGCUGCUGG
RNAcentral lists this ribosomal RNA (215 nucleotides) under Yersinia ruckeri. RNAcentral describes it as "partial 23S ribosomal RNA". It matches the Rfam family "Bacterial large subunit ribosomal RNA", at positions 1157 to 1277 of the family's 2925-position model. Lineage: Bacteria; Pseudomonadati; Pseudomonadota; Gammaproteobacteria; Enterobacterales; Yersiniaceae. The record is from RNAcentral.